Molecule: ribosomal RNA, 23 nt
Filed under: Cladosporium cladosporioides
Lineage: Eukaryota; Fungi; Ascomycota; Dothideomycetes; Cladosporiales; Cladosporiaceae
Also listed under: 31 other names
Description: partial 18S ribosomal RNA
Source: RNAcentral
GGUGAACCUGCGGAGGGAUCAUU